RNAcentral lists this ribosomal RNA (769 nucleotides) under Oehlia diaphana. RNAcentral's name for it is "partial large subunit ribosomal RNA". It matches the Rfam family "Eukaryotic large subunit ribosomal RNA", at positions 71 to 694 of the family's 3401-position model. Lineage: Eukaryota; Fungi; Glomeromycota; Glomeromycetes; Glomerales; Glomeraceae. The record is from RNAcentral.
AUGAUUCCUUUAGUAACUGCGAGUGAAGAGGGAAAAGCUCAAAUUUUAAAUCUGUUAGGUUUACCUGACCGAGUUGUAAUUUGAAGAAGCGUUUUCUGCGAUUUUGGUUAGUCCAAAUCCUUUGGAACAGGGUAUCAUGGAGGGUGAGAAUCCCGUUUGAUUAACCAAAGCGCUUUACGAUACGCUUUCAAAGAGUCAAGUUGUUUGGGAUUGCAGCUUAAAAUGGGAGGUAAAUUUCUCCUAAGGCUAAAUAUUGGCGAGAGACCGAUAGCGAACAAGUACCGUGAGGGAAAGAUGGAAAGAACUUUGAAAAGAGAGUUAAACAGUACGUGAAAUUGUUGAAAGGGAAACGAUUAAAGUCAGUCGUACCUACGAGUAAUCAACCUACACGAGCGCGAUUUUGUGGGUAUGAAGAGGUAAAACCUUCAUGGUUGCAAAUUGGUGUUCUUUGGGCGUACUUUCUCGUAUGGUAGGUUAACAUCAAUUUCGAUCGUUACAAAAUGACGGGAGGAAUGUAGCUUCGACUUCGGUUGAAGUGUUAUAGCCUCUGGUAGAUGUAAUGAUUGGGAUUGAGGAUUGCAACGGAUACCCUCUGGGCUAUUCGUCUGAUCUCUGGAAGUUACCUUGGUGUCGAAAGCAUGCUUAUGACAUUAAGAAUGACGGCCAAAAGGUUAGAACGGAAUUAAAUUCGUUAAGGAUGUUGACGUAAUGGCUUUAAACGACCCGUCUUGAAACACGGACCAAGGAGUCUAACAUAUGUGCGAGUGUU